AUACGGAGGGUGCAAGCGUUAAUCGGAAUUACUGGGCGUAAAGCGUACGUAGGCGGUUGGUUAAGUUAGAUGUGAAAGCCCCGGGCUUAACCUGGGAACUGCAUUUAAAACUGGCGAACUAGAGUUGAGUAGAGGGGAGUGGAAUUUCAGGUGUAGCGGUGAAAUGCGUAGAGAUCUGAAGGAACACCAGUGGCGAAGGCGACUCCCUGGACUCGAACUGACGCUGAGGUACGAAAGCGUGGGUAGCAAACGGGAUUAGAUACCCUAGUAGUCC
Molecule: ribosomal RNA, 274 nt
Filed under: uncultured bacterium
Lineage: Bacteria
Description: partial 16S ribosomal RNA
Rfam family: Bacterial small subunit ribosomal RNA
Source: RNAcentral